GAGACUUUAAUUUAAUGGUAAAAUAUGUGACUUUUAAUCAUCAUUAUAUGGGUUCGAAUCCUAUAAGUCUUA
Molecule: transfer RNA, 72 nt
Filed under: Pertusaria plittiana
Lineage: Eukaryota; Fungi; Ascomycota; Lecanoromycetes; Pertusariales; Pertusariaceae
Also listed under: 1 other name
Description: tRNA-Lys
Rfam family: tRNA
About the family: Transfer RNA (tRNA) molecules are approximately 80 nucleotides in length. Their secondary structure includes four short double-helical elements and three loops (D, anti-codon, and T loops).
Source: RNAcentral